AGAGUUUGAUCAGUGGCUCGAGGACGAACGCUGGCGGCAUGCCUAACACAUGCAAGUCGAACGGAGUUAAAUCGAGCUUGCUUGAUUUAACUUAGUGGCGGACGGGUGAGUAACGCGUGAGCAACCUGCCUUUCAGUGGGGAAUAAUGUUCUGAAAAGAGCACUAAUACCGCAUAAUGUAUAAGUAUCGCAUGGUACAUAUACCAAAGAUUUAUCGCUGAGAGAUGGGCUCGCGUCCGAUUAGCCGGUUGGUGGGGUAAUGGCCUACCAAAGCGACGAUCAAUAGCCGGCCUGAGAGGGUGAACGGCCACAUUGGAACUGAGACACGGUCCAAACUCC
This 338-nucleotide ribosomal RNA is filed under the name uncultured Butyrivibrio sp. RNAcentral's name for it is "bacterial SSU rRNA". It matches the Rfam family "Bacterial small subunit ribosomal RNA", at positions 8 to 339 of the family's 1533-position model. Lineage: Bacteria; Bacillati; Bacillota; Clostridia; Lachnospirales; Lachnospiraceae. The record is from RNAcentral.